CUAAAGCUAAUACUACGGCUAAUUGACUAGUUCAGGCUAAUUAUCACAGAUUUGCAAGAAGGGACACUACGAACACAGAUAAAAAAGGAGUUUGUUUCGGAUAAACUCGGAAGAAGAAAACGAAAAUCUUUGAAGCUGCGUGUAAGCUGCUAUCAGGACGUGUAUUCUUCCCAAUCCGAACAGUUUCCUACAUCCGGGAUAAAUUUUUAUGUUUGAUAAUACAGAAGAUAUCAUCAACGUAUCGGCACCAGCGUUUGGAUAACUCGCCUUUCUCUUUCAAACAUUUUUCUAGGUUUGAUAUAAAUAGUUAACAAAGAAAAGGAGAGAGCGGUUUACCCAUCGGGGCACCCUUGGUUUGUUUGUAGAAGAUAUUUCGGAAUGUGAAAUAAUUCUCGUCCAUGGAAAGGCGAGUAAGCUUGAUAUAAGAUCUUACUUUGCUUUUCCAUAAACUGUUGCUAUUUUGUUGUAGUAACCAAUGCUCUAAAAGGUUAAUUGAAUCUUUUACAGGGACACUUGGGAAUAGUGCGGUUAUGUCAAAGGAGACCAUAAUCUCGUCGUCUUUGAUUUCACCUGAGUUUUGAAGUUUGAAAGUGCAUUCUUGUGUAUUGGUGACCCUAGUAACAAUUGAGGUUUUAUAGUAGUUUUAUAGCCACUGAUAAAACUUAGAUUGCACUUGUAGCGUGCUUUAAAAUUUCAAUUGUUACUUGGGGACAGAUCGACUGGAAAACUUUUUUGGAAUAUUUUGAAAUUCUUGUACUAGCCAUUUUGCAAUUUUUUGGGUUGGGGUACCUAUUGAUGAAAUAAUUUCCCUGAUUUAAUUUCCUGGUUUGUGAAUUUUUGGGGUUUGGAACUUUGAGACGAUUUAGAUUUUCUCCCAAGAUGGGUUUGCAGUCUUUAAGACUUUUUUAAACACGUUUGAUCAUGUCCGGAAGGGGGCAAGGGCCUAAAAUUCUUCUAUCUAUUCAAUGAACAAUGAAAUUCAAUGGAUUCACCUUCGUCUUGCCACUGCCUCCUUCGUCACUAAAUACAUACAAAACAAAACAAUAAAGGCAAAGUCCCUUCUUUCGAUUCUACGAAAAUCGAGAAGCAGAAGUAGCAACUUUCGUUUUACCAUGGCAAUCCGAAUAUUCAAUCUCGUUCUUAUUUACACUUAGUAAUUUUCGAUUCUCAGUUUAAUUUUUGUAAAAUUAAAUUAAAGCAAUAUGCAUUAUAAAAUACAACUAGAAUACAGUAAAUACGGGAAUUGUGCAGAUCUAUCAUCCUUUAUUCUUCCAAUAUCAACA
Long non-coding RNA from Topomyia yanbarensis, 1283 nucleotides. RefSeq lists it as uncharacterized. NCBI's taxonomy places the organism in Eukaryota, Metazoa, Arthropoda, Insecta, Diptera, Culicidae. The record is from RefSeq and is a predicted model, not a curated record. The transcript has 3 exons.